Molecule: long non-coding RNA, 560 nt
Organism: Spea bombifrons (plains spadefoot toad)
Lineage: Eukaryota; Metazoa; Chordata; Amphibia; Anura; Pelobatidae
Exons: 2
Source: RefSeq, a predicted model, not a curated record
GUCAUAAUGUUAUGGCUGAUUGGUGUAAAUUACCAAUACGGUUGCUAGGUAGGCUGCAUGUGUAGCCCCAAAAUAUUCUGUGCCACAAGAAAGGAUGUUAUAUUUUAUGACUCACGAUAGAACAUUAUAUGGUUUGACAAGUUUGAUGUGUAUGAACAGAGAGAGCACUAACCUUAACCCUGUAGAACAUCUUUGGGUUAAACUGGAAUGCCGACUGUGAGCCAGUCUAAUAUACAUGCCUGACCUCACAAAUUCCCGCAUACUCUCUCCAAAAUCUUGCAGAAAGCCUUCCAAGAACACUGGAGGCUCUUUUAACUGCAAAUGGGGUCAGCUCCGUAUCAAUGCCCAUGAUUUUGGAAUGGGAUAACCAAUAAGCUCCACAUAGUUUUAAUCAUAUGGUGUAUUCUUCAUUGUGGUCUAUUUUACAGGUAACCAUGUUCAGAGAGACAACCUACUACAUAUUAAAUAGUUAUAUAUCAUAGGAGCUGAUGGAACAUAAAGCAUGAUUCCUACUGAGACAACCCUGGCAGAUCUGAUAAAUAUUUGAAAAGACAGCAAAA